Salmo salar (Atlantic salmon) is the source of this 406-nucleotide non-coding RNA. Lineage: Eukaryota; Metazoa; Chordata; Actinopteri; Salmoniformes; Salmonidae. The record is from RefSeq and is a predicted model, not a curated record.
ACUACUUUCAAGUAGUGCACUAUAUAGGGAACAGAGUACCAUUUGGCAUGAAGCCGUUGUCUUUGCAGGUCAUUGGUAGUCUUACUUUGGACCAGACGGCAGCUGAUCCUGCCAGGAGAGGACUGACGGCCAGGAUGACGAGGGUCAGCUUCCAGCCGAAGAUGAAACCAAUGAUGAACCCUGACAAGAAGGACAUCUGUUGGUGAAGGAUGGCAUGGAAGUAUUUCUCCCGAAUCCGUUUGGUCUGUUUGGUGGCUGUCAGCAAGAACAACAUCACCUGAAAGGUCCCCAGCAGGAACACAGCACAACCGAUCCCGAUGAAGUAAUAGGCAUGUCUGGAAAUUCAAAUCGUACACGUUACAGCCACGUGCAGGACCAGUCAAGUUUGGACACCUACUCAUUCAAG